Non-coding RNA from Danio rerio (zebrafish), 89 nucleotides. The record is from Rfam. NCBI's taxonomy places the organism in Eukaryota, Metazoa, Chordata, Actinopteri, Cypriniformes, Danionidae.
GGCUUUGUGGCGCAAUGGAUAGUGCAGUGGACUUCUAGGCUGUGAGCUGAGUCAUUCAAAGGUUGUGGGUUCGAGUCCCACCAGAGUCG